GUAAACCCAAGGUUUCCUGUGCAAGGUUCGUCCUCACAGGGUUAGUCGGGACCUAAGUCGAGGCCGAAGGGCGUAGGCGAUGGACAGCUGGUUUAAUAUUCCAGCACCGGCUUUGGUUAAGGGCGAGAGUGACGUGGGUGCGGAGGGGAGCGAUCGACUGAUAGUGAUCGUCGCGCAAGCGGACGUUGAGGCUACGGCCAAGACGGAUUCUCUAAAGCAAACACCGAGAAAAGCUCUCGUUUGUUCCCAAGGCCGCCCGUACCGUAAACCGACACAGGUGGGUGGGUAGAGUAUACCCAGGCGCGUGAGUGAAGCCUCGUUAAGGAACUCGGCAAUCUAGCCCCGUAACUUCGGAAGAAGGGGUGCCGGUCGCAAGACCGGCCGCAGUGAAAGGGGUCAACCGACUGUUUAACAAAAACACAGCACUCUGCCAAGUCGCAAGACUACGUAUAGGGUGUGACACGUGACCAAUGCGGAAAGAUUACGGUAAGAGGUUAGCGCAAGCGAAGCUUCGAGCCCAAGUCCCCGUGAAUUCGGCCGUAACGAUAACGGUCCUAAGGUAGCGAAAUUCCUUGUCGGGUAAGUUCCGACCUGCACGAAUCGUGUAACGAGUUGACCGCUGUCUCAACGAGGAGCUCAGCGAAGUUGUAGUGGCGGUGAAGAUGCCGCCUACCCGCAGCAGGACGGAAAGACCCUAUGCACCUUUACUGUACGCUGUUACUGUUUUUUCGGUUUUAAUGCUUAGCGUAAGUGGUAGACUUUGAUUCAGCUCUUUCGGGGGCUGAUGAGUCGUCAAUGAAACACCACCCUUUGAAACUGGAAAAUCUAACCUCUCGCCAUUAUCUGGCAGAGGGACACUGGCAGCCGGUCAGUUUUACUGGGGCGGUAUCCUCCCAAAGAGUAACGGAGGAGUACGGAGGUUGGCUCAGCCUGGUUGGUAAUCAGGUGACGAGUAUAUGGAUGUAAGCCAGCCUAACUGUGAGACCUACAAGUCGAGCAGGUGCGAAAGCAGGUCCAAGUGAUCCGGUGGUUGAAUGUGGAAUCGCCAUCGCUCAACGGACAAAAGGUACGCUAGGGAUAACAGGCUGAUCGAGUCCAAGAGCUCAUAUCGACGACUCGGUUUGGCACCUCGAUGUCGGCUCAUCACAUCCUGGGGCUGGAGAAGGUCCCAAGGGUCCGGCUGUUCGCCGGUUAAAGUGGUACGCGAGCUGGGUUCAGAACGUCGCGAGACAGUUCGGUCCUUAUCCGCUGUGGGCGCAGGAAGAGUGAGGGGUUCACACCUUAGUACGAGAGGACCGGGUGUGACGAACCACUGGUGUUCCAGUUGUCCUGUCAAGUGCAGUGCUGGGUAGCUAUGUUCGGAAAGGAUAAGCGCUGAAAGCAUCUAAGCGCCAAGCCUCUCCCAAGAUGACUCUUCCCCGAAGGAUCGUGGCAGACCACCACGUUGAUAGGAUUCCGGUGUAAGCACAGUAAUGUGUUCAGCUGAGAAUUACUAAUAAUCCGUUCGGCUUGGUCU
RNAcentral lists this ribosomal RNA (1516 nucleotides) under metagenome. Its description in RNAcentral is "bacterial LSU rRNA". It matches the Rfam family "Bacterial large subunit ribosomal RNA", at positions 1339 to 2925 of the family's 2925-position model. The record is from RNAcentral.